Herpailurus yagouaroundi (jaguarundi) is the source of this 1576-nucleotide long non-coding RNA. RefSeq lists it as uncharacterized. The record is from RefSeq and is a predicted model, not a curated record. The transcript is spliced from 5 exons. Lineage: Eukaryota; Metazoa; Chordata; Mammalia; Carnivora; Felidae.
GGCACUUUGAAGCUACAUUUAAUGUUUUCUCCAAGUACAAAAGAAAAUGUAACUGCCAAAUUAUAAAUCAAGGCUAAGGUAUUGCCAAAUGGCUGUGAGAAUAAUAUAAAAAGGGUUUCGUUUGUCUGUUUGCUUUUUGUUUUUGUUGUGUUGUGUUGUGUUUUAGCUUCUGCACACGCAUGGUCUGGCAAGGCCGGCAGUGAAAAUUUAAAGAACAAUCUGAUAUCUGAAGAAGUCUGCCCUUGGCAAGGUAAAGGCAACACCUGACUGAUAUAUUGGCUUCCCACUGAGGUGUUGCAGUUAAGAAAAAAAGGUUCAUGCAUUUGCCUCAGUCAGUAUUGCUGUAAACCUAAACCUCACGGAAGGCUAUUAUAGCAUCGGGAACAGAUGGUGAAGAUUUCCAUAAAACAGAAAGGGAAACAGACUUGUCUGAAGUGAGGUCACUAUUCUCUUUCAUGAGGACUCUACUCUCGUGACCUAAUCACCUCCCAAAGGCCCUGCCUCCCAAUUCCAUCAGGCUGUGUGGAUGAACACUGCUUCCAGGACUCACAUAAUUGCACCUAAAGUCAUAGAAUGUUACAGCUGGAGGAACGCUGAGAGUUUGCCCAAGAUCCUUCCCCAGCAUUUUACAGCCCCUUGUGGAUCCAAGGCAAAGAAGCAGUGGCAAAGAAGUCAAACCUAAUUUCCUCUUGGCCCUACUAGGUGAUAUUACAGUCAAGGUGCAGCAUUUCUUACGUUAAUAAUCUGAAGUUCCUUUUCUGAGAAAAUAUACACGUUGUCUGAGGUCUUAAAAUUGUUUAGGUAUUGUAAUCACUCCAUAAUUAUUGGAUGUUAUUUUAAAUGCCUAAAAUUAUACCUGUGAGAUUUAAUAUUGAUAUUCCUACGAAUUACAUUUUGGUAAAUACAUAUCUUUUGAAGGGAGAGAGAUUUGGGAUUUGGGGUGAGUCUGAUCAUCUGUUUUUGUCUUCGUUGAUAUAAAAAUCUUCCAUUUCAAAUCUCUGGAAAAGCAUACACAUGGAGCAAAUGACUCAUUAAUUUAUCCUACAGUCAAAAUUAAAGCAGUACAUAAUUGCCAAAUCUUCAAUUCUUAUAAAACAGAGCUCUGAAUAUGUACUAAUUAUCUUCUGUGGAAAGGAAAUUCACUGAGAUUCAGUUAAGACUGCUUCACGCUCAGUAAGUUAAGUCUAUUGUGUUACAUACACCAGCUUGCGCAUGCUCCCUCCUUCCCUCCAACCCACUCAGCUCCCCUUUCUUCUCCUUUUCAACUGCUGACCUGAGUUAGUAGCCAAACAUAAUAAUACAGUGUUUGAUCCUCUGUAAACCCAUAAAAUUAUAAACCAGCAACCACCGGGAUGUUGGCAGAAUUUCUGUGGACAGCAACCAGCAUGGUGCUUUUUUCUUUCUGAAAUCAAGCAGUACAUUAUACUUGUUGAUACAACAGUGAGGAAGGUAAUGCCUUCCAUCAUCUCCUGGCCCCUACCUAACUCCUCUAGCCACUUGGGAUGGGGUGAGACAAUUCAUCUAUUUAAAAGAUUAAAGUCUCCAGGUGCCUGGGGGGCUCAGUCGGUUAAGCAUC